AGCAGCCGCGGUAAUUCCAGCUCCAAUAGCGUAUAUUAAAGUUGUUGCAGUUAAAAAGCUCGUAGUUGAACUUCAGACCUGGCUGGACGGUCUGCCGAAAGGUAUGUACUGUCCGGCUGGGCCUUACCUCUUGGUGAGCCGGCAUGCCCUUCACUGGGUGUGUUGGGGAACCAGGACUUUUACCUUGAGAAAAUUAGAGUGUUUAAAGCAAGCUAACGCUUGAAUACAUUAGCAUGGAAUAAUGAAAUAGGACGUUCGAUCCUAUUUUGUUGGUUUCUAGGAUUGACGUAAUGAUUAAUAGGGAUAGUUGGGGGCAUUAGUAUUCAAUUGUCAGAGGUGAAAUUCUUGGAUUUAUUGAAGACUAACUACUGCGAAAGCAUUUGCCAAGGAUGUUUUCAUUAAUCAAGAACGAAAGUUAGGGGAUCGAAGACGAUCAGAUACCGUCGUAGUCUUAACCAUAAACUAUGCCGACUAGGGAUCGGAUGAUGUUAAUUUUUUAAUGACUCAUUCGGCGCCUUAC
This 520-nucleotide unclassified non-coding RNA is filed under the name uncultured Glomus. RNAcentral's name for it is "bacterial SSU rRNA". It matches the Rfam family "Eukaryotic small subunit ribosomal RNA", at positions 569 to 1091 of the family's 1831-position model. Lineage: Eukaryota; Fungi; Glomeromycota; Glomeromycetes; Glomerales; Glomeraceae. The record is from RNAcentral. RNAcentral also lists the same sequence under 1 other name.